UACCCACCUGCUCCCAGUGCCACCCACACUGCUUUAAAUGCAACUUACAUAUUGGCUUUCACUAUGUAAAGCGCUUUGAGUCACUAGAGAAAAAGCGCUAUAUAAUUCACUUCACUUACAUAAAAAUGGAGAAGGGUACUGGUAACAACUGCCGUCAGUUGUAAGUAGACAUUUGUCACUUAUUUUGAACUACAGGACGUCUAAUGUUAUGUCCAAUGUUAAUGUGUCCUUUUUCUUCUUCAUGAUGUUUUUCCUCAGUUAUCCAGUAAGUGCGGACAAAAAACUUCUCGCCAGAACCAUGUGACACUUUACCCGUCACUUAACAUCAACAUGGAGGACGAAAAUAAGGAUAUGUAAGGGAAUGUUAAGAGUGAGAAACACACAUUACUUGGAUUGAUUGUGACAGUAGCUCAUUAGAUCCCAGUUUUAUUUGUGUUGUAAAGGAACACGUCUAUGAUCCAACAUGCCACGCUGGCUUUCUGGAAGGUAAGCUGAGGAAUAUCCACCAAACGAAGGGAUGAUCGGUGCAGUUAUUGCAGAAGGGGUGGCUCAUCUGAAGUCACUGUUGGACUUGAAGAAGUUACAGAAAGUGAUGAGUCUGUCCAAGAAUGGAUAACUGUGAUCAUAAGGAUGAAGCCUAGUCCGGAGAACCUUUCUUCCAUCAAGAUGGAGAUUGUUGAGAACUACCCUCGUUUCAUCGAUGUACCAUAUCUGAUCGACAGUUUGAGAAGAUGUUUCCAUACAAGACAGACAUCUUUCUACACAAAUGGGACCAAAGUUGUUGAAGCUGGCUGCUCUUGAAGGAAAAGAUGAACCACCAGAAGCUGAGAGUGCUGAAUGAAGGUGCUGUAGAGCACUGAAGAUGCUCACACAUGAUCUGCCCCCUACUGGGUCAAGAAGAUCUAUGGGAUGGACAAAAUGCAGCAUCAAGUCAGUGCUGUCCUACAUUAAACAACCAGGAAGAAGCUUCCAUGACCUUCUACAAACCACUGACCCUGCUCCAGUGAUGCAACCUGGUCUGGUGAGCAUUGGACAUUGCAGCACAACAUCAACACAAUAUGUCCUCGUGGCUGCCCAUGUCAUUCCACUCCAGGAAGAGGGUCUCACCUGCAGUCUGGACUAACUCUUCAAAUUGUAUUGGGCUUGUAACCUUGCCUGCUUGGUAAAGUAGGAGUUGUUGAUUGAAAAAAUGGCAGCCUGUGGACAUAAGUGGACCCCGACUUAAACAAGUUGAACAACUUAUUGGGGUGUUACCAUUUAGUGGUCAAUUGUAUGUAAUAUGUACUUCACUGUGCAAUCUACUAAUAAAGUUUCAAUCAAUG
This is a long non-coding RNA of Entelurus aequoreus (snake pipefish), 1322 nucleotides long. RefSeq lists it as uncharacterized. Lineage: Eukaryota; Metazoa; Chordata; Actinopteri; Syngnathiformes; Syngnathidae. The record is from RefSeq and is a predicted model, not a curated record. The transcript is spliced from 5 exons.